Molecule: unclassified non-coding RNA, 24 nt
Filed under: Mus musculus (house mouse)
Lineage: Eukaryota; Metazoa; Chordata; Mammalia; Rodentia; Muridae
Description: oocyte_clustered_small_RNA6253
Source: RNAcentral
UAUGGCACCCUGAUCUUGAGCUUG